This 468-nucleotide ribosomal RNA is filed under the name uncultured bacterium. Its description in RNAcentral is "partial 16S ribosomal RNA". It matches the Rfam family "Bacterial small subunit ribosomal RNA", at positions 28 to 507 of the family's 1533-position model. The record is from RNAcentral.
GACGAACGCUGGCGGCGUGCUUAACACAUGCAAGUCGAACGGAAAGGCCCUGCUUUUGUGGGGUGCUCGAGUGGCGAAAGGGUGAGUAACACGUGAGUAACCUGCCCUUGACUUUGGGAUAACUUCAGGAAACUGGGGCUAAUACCGGAUAGGAGCUCCUGCUGCAUGGUGGGGGUUGGAAAGUUUCGGCGGUUGGGGAUGGACUCGCGGCUUAUCAGCUUGUUGGUGGGGUAGUGGCUUACCAAGGCUUUGACGGGUAGCCGGCCUGAGAGGGUGACCGGCCACCUUGGGACUGCGAUACGGCCCAGACUCCUACGGGAGGCAGCAGUGGGGAAUAUGGCACAAUGGGCGGAAGCCUGAUGCAGCAACGCCGCGUGCGGGAUGACGGCCUUCGGGUUGUAAACCGCUUUCGCCUGUGACGAAGCGUGAGUGACGGUAAUGGGUAAAGAAGCACCGGCUAACUACGUG